CCUACGGGAGGCUGCAGUGGGGAAUAUUGCACAAUGGGCGCAAGCCUGAUGCAGCCAUGCCGCGUGUGUGAAGAAGGCCUUCGGGUUGUAAAGCACUUUCAGCGGGGAGGAAGGCGUUAAGGUUAAUAACCUUGGCGAUUGACGUUACCCGCAGAAGAAGCACCGGCUAACUCCGUGCCAGCAGCCGCGGUAAUACGGAGGGUGCAAGCGUUAAUCGGAAUUACUGGGCGUAAAGCGCACGCAGGCGGUCUGUCAAGUCGGAUGUGAAAUCCCCGGGCUCAACCUGGGAACUGCAUUCGAAACUGGCAGGCUAGAGUCUUGUAGAGGGGGGUAGAAUUCCAGGUGUAGCGGUGAAAUGCGUAGAGAUCUGGAGGAAUACCGGUGGCGAAGGCGGCCCCCUGGACAAAGACUGACGCUGAGACACGAAAGCGUGGGGAGCAAACCGGAUUAGAUACCCGUGUAGUC
Molecule: ribosomal RNA, 465 nt
Filed under: uncultured Klebsiella sp.
Lineage: Bacteria; Pseudomonadati; Pseudomonadota; Gammaproteobacteria; Enterobacterales; Enterobacteriaceae
Description: bacterial SSU rRNA
Rfam family: Bacterial small subunit ribosomal RNA
Source: RNAcentral